RNAcentral lists this long non-coding RNA (778 nucleotides) under Rosa chinensis. RNAcentral's name for it is "sRNA RchiOBHm_Chr7g0198461". The record is from RNAcentral. Lineage: Eukaryota; Viridiplantae; Streptophyta; Magnoliopsida; Rosales; Rosaceae.
CGUCGACCCAUUUCACGAACCGGGAAGCCCCGACGCUGACCCGACGGUAUCUCCACUGUCCGGCUGUGUCUUGGUGUCGGAUCAGCGGCGUCUUCACCUUGGCGGCACGAAGAUGAACAUGGCCUUGGUUUGGUCAAUUGACGACGGCAGAUGACGAGUUGAGCUCGAAAACUCUUGCUUUAUUGGCGGUUUUGAUGCGUUUUCCGGCAGCUUCGAUCGCCGUUGGCUGCAAGUGAGGUAUGGAGAUUCCUCUUCACUCCAAGCUAUACAUGAUGGUAUACUGAAAGUCAUCUUUUGGUUCCAAUUUAAAGAUUCGGUGUUUUAGGCGGCUUCGGCCGGGUCGAUCAAUACUACAGCGGCUGGGAUAGUCAAGGAUUACUGCCGCCGCUGGAAAGUUGCUGCUGGGAUUUAGGAGGGAUCGGCGACCAACCACUGGCAUCUAUAUGUGGUUUUUAUUCUUGUUUAAUUGGCAGUUGCUUUCUACUUUGACCACAUGGUUUCAAGGUUUAAAGUGGUUUUGAUUCUGUAUGUACCCAAACAAAGAAGUUGAAUGAGAAUAAAUCAGUUUUGAAGCUCUGUUCAUAUAUUUGUGCAGCACUAGUCAGAGAAGAUAUGAAGAAUAUGAACUGUGCAAUUACAUUGACCCUUCCUUUCGAUCUCUUAACCGGGAACAGGCUAAACCUUUCCCCCUACAUUUUCUCUCACUGAACUGACACAUGCUUCUCACGUGGCUGGACCCAAAUAAACCGAGCACUCCAAACUCCGAGCAUGGAAGACG